This 424-nucleotide ribosomal RNA is filed under the name uncultured prokaryote. Its description in RNAcentral is "bacterial SSU rRNA". It matches the Rfam family "Bacterial small subunit ribosomal RNA", at positions 355 to 796 of the family's 1533-position model. The record is from RNAcentral.
UGGGGAAUAUUGGACAAUGGGGGCAACCCUGAUCCAGCCAUGCCGCGUGCGUGAAGAAGGCCUUAGGGUUGUAAAGCGCUUUCGGCGGGGAAGAUGAUGACGGUACCCGCAGAAGAAGCCCCGGCUCACUCCGUGCCAGCAGCCGCGGUAAUACGGAGGGGGCAAGCGUUGUACGGAAUUACUGGGCGAAAAGGGCGCGUAGGCGGAACGGCAAGUCAGGCGUGAAUGGCCCGGGCUCAACCUGGGAACUGCCUUUGAAACUGCCGAUCUAGAGUCCGGAAGAGGAUGGCGGAAUUCCCAGUGUAGAGGUGAAAUUCGUAGGUAUUGGGAAGAACACCAGUGGCGAAGGCGGCCAUCUGGUCCGGUACUGACGCUGAGGCGCGAAAGCGUGGGGAGCAAACAGGAUUAGAUACCCGGGUAGUCC